AAGCUGAAAUUUUUUUUUAAUUUUUAAAAAUGAAAAGGUAUUUAUCAAAUGCAACUGAUUAAUCAGGCAUAAGAGUUGUAUUAUUUAGACAAAAUAUAAUUGAUAUGAGCAUGUUCAGAAAGUUCUAUUUCAUGUUGAUAAAGGAUCUGCCAAGUUCACAUCAAACCCUUAACCAUACAGUUUUAUGUAGGAAGCAAAAUGGAUAGAAAUAUGAGGAGAUCUGCAAAGCCACAUCACCAUGAGCGACAAUGACAUGGACAAAGUCCAUGGAUGAGCCUGGUGUGGUCGACGUGCAGAACCUGCAUGCAAGACACACAGAGAAGGUGGGCUAGGACACCUAGGAGUCAUCUAUUUGGGGUGCAGAUGCUGUUUUGACAAGGAAGUGAAACACUUAAUUUGUGGCAUAGCCUUUUGGGGAAAGGAAGACCCUGGGGAAACAAGGUAAAAGGCACAAUUAUUCACUUCUACUUCACAAAUUUCAUUGUUUUCAUAUUAUAUUUGGAUGUAGAAGGAUCUCUACAGCAAAGAAGGCAUCCACCCAGUUAAAACAUGGUGCUAUGAAUUAUGUGGAUGGGCAUAAAACAUGAAGUGGAAGAGAUAAGCAGUACUUUGCAGGUAGAGGUGAGAAGAGCAUGACACAAGGGACAUUGGUCCCCAGCCAAGCUCUACAGAAAUAGAGCUCUGCCUUCUGCAAAUGUGGUCCAGGAAGUUAUAGACAGCAGCGAGGACAAAUGGCCCCUGAGCAUCUCAAACUGAGACAGAGAUGUAUGAGUGGUGACCCGGUGACCUUGACCACAUCUGAGUCAUCCUGCACCCCCCAGUUCUCUCUCUCCCCUCUCCAUCUCUCCCUCCCUUCUCUCUUUUCCUUCCUUUCUUCUCUGUGUUUCUUCCAUUCCUUCUCUCUCUCUCUCUCUCUCCUUCUUCCUUCCUAUGGUACAGUUGGAGUCUCUGGACCAGUUUCAACCACAAGAGAAGAUCAACAUCCAGGUCAACAGUGACAGACUUCACAUAAAAACCCAACAGAUUUCACAGUGGGGUGGAGGCUCAGGGGGGGUCGUGGUUUGGAUGCCAGGAGGCUCAGGUGAGGACAUGCACGUGCAGCCCUGUGAAGACCAUUCUAUCAAGUCAGGCUCCCUGGAAGUGAUGGCCAGUGGGUUAUCUUGGCUAUUCCAUUCCUUCAUGGUCCUUUCCUCACUUUUUCACACAUACCUGUCCAUCAUUUCCUCCUCAGAGUAUGACCUGGGGGCUCUAGGGAAGCUGCGAAGGGCUCGUUGAGAUUUCGAGUUUGUGAGUUUAUUUUCUGUGCCCUGUCUCCUCUUGCUGAAUAUAUUUAGGAGUUGGCUGAGAAGUUGAUGUUCAUUUGAUUCAUGUUAAACUCCAUGGCCUGUGAGUCUUGUGUUUUAAUCUACGUGUCAUCUGUUACAAAUGGACUUUGUAUUGUGCAAUAAAUAUAACUCUGUAUGAAUUGAAUUUCUUUGUAAAGAUUCGUAUUUGAAAGAUUUAUCUAAUAUUUGUUAUUUUAGUUAGCAGAUAACAAAAGUCACCAAGAGGAGUUUAUGUUUGGCAUUUUUAUUCAUGGGCUUUUCCUAAAUAGGAAACACUGGCCUCUGGUUUUUCAGUAUGAAAGAGGAUGUUAGAAUUGUUUGUUGCGUGCGCGUGCGCGCGCGCGCGCGCGCGUGUGUGUGAGUGUGUGUGUGUGUGUGUAUUGGGGGUAGCCAUGGCUGUUCAUAU
RNAcentral lists this long non-coding RNA (1731 nucleotides) under Canis lupus familiaris (dog). Its description in RNAcentral is "lncRNA (ENSCAFG00845027158.1)". The record is from RNAcentral. Lineage: Eukaryota; Metazoa; Chordata; Mammalia; Carnivora; Canidae.